Non-coding RNA from Tauraco erythrolophus (red-crested turaco), 47 nucleotides. NCBI's taxonomy places the organism in Eukaryota, Metazoa, Chordata, Aves, Musophagiformes, Musophagidae. The record is from Rfam.
AUAAAGGUUUUUCUAAAAACCACAUAAAAACAGCUGGACCACAACAG